GACUGGUCAGAGUGCAGUGGUGUUUACAACUAAUUGAUCACAACCAGUUACAGAUUUCUUUGUUCCUUCUCUAAUCCCACUGCUUCAGUUGACUAGCCUAAU
Unclassified non-coding RNA from Cercocebus atys (sooty mangabey), 102 nucleotides. It matches the Rfam family "Y RNA". From Rfam's summary of the family: Y RNAs are components of the Ro ribonucleoprotein particle (Ro RNP), in association with Ro60 and La proteins. The record is from Ensembl. Lineage: Eukaryota; Metazoa; Chordata; Mammalia; Primates; Cercopithecidae.